AUGCAGACAAUUAAGUGUGUUGGUGGUGGUGAUGGUGCUGUUGGUAAAACAUAUUUCCUGAUAUCCUACACAACAAAUUUCCAUCAGAAUAUGUACCAGCUGUUUUUGGCAACUAUGCAGUCAUAGUUAUGAUUGGUGGAGAGCCAUACACUCUCGGACUUUUUGAUACUGCAGGGCAAGAGGAUUAUGACAGACUACGACCGCUAAGUUAUCCACAGACAGAUGUUUUUCUAGUAUGUUUCUCAGUGGUCUCUUCAUCCUCAUUUGAAAAUGUGAAAGAAAACUGGAUGCCUGAGAUAACUCACCACUGUCCAAAGCCUCCUUUCUUGCUUGUUGGGACCCAAAUUGAUCUCAGAGAUGACCCCUCUCCUAUUGAGAAACUUGCCAAGAACAAACAGAAGGCCAUUACUCCAGAGACUGCUGGAAAGCUGGCUGUCAAGUCUGUGGAGUGCUCCACCCUCACACAGAAAGGCCUAAAGAAUGUGUUUGAUGAAGCAUUAUUGGCUGCCUUGGAGCCUCCAGAACCAAAGAAGAGCCGCAGGUGUGUGCUGCUAUGA
Molecule: RNA transcript, 557 nt
Organism: Mus pahari (shrew mouse)
Lineage: Eukaryota; Metazoa; Chordata; Mammalia; Rodentia; Muridae
Gene name: cell division control protein 42 homolog
Exons: 1
Source: RefSeq, a predicted model, not a curated record